Molecule: ribosomal RNA, 2661 nt
Filed under: Triticum aestivum (bread wheat)
Lineage: Eukaryota; Viridiplantae; Streptophyta; Magnoliopsida; Poales; Poaceae
Description: partial small subunit ribosomal RNA
Source: RNAcentral
AUGGCGCCGCGUCUCCUGCUCCUCGCGCUCGUCGCGGCGGCCGUGGCCGUGCUGCCGGCGAGCGCCGCGGUGGCGAGCAUCGACCUGGGCUCCGAGUGGCUCAAGGUGGCCGCCGUGCACCUCGCGCCGGGCCGCGCGCCGAUCGCCGUCGCCAUCAACGAGAUGUCCAAGCGCAAGUCCCCGGCGCUCGCCGCGCUCGCCGACGGCAACCGCCUCGCCGGCGAGGAGGCGGCCGGCAUCACCGCGCGCCACCCGGCCAAGGUCUUCUCCCGCAUGCGCGACCUCCUCGCCAAGCCCUUCCCCUACGUGCGGGCCCUCGCGGACUCGCUCUUCCUCCCCUACGACCUCGUCCAGGACGCGCGCGGCGCCGCCGCCGUGCGCGCCGACGACGGUCAGGUCUACACCGUCGAGGAGAUCGUCGCCAUGGUGCUCCACUACGCCUCCGGGAUCGCCGACGCCCACGUCGGCCUGCCCGUGCGGGACGCCGUCGUCGCCGUGCCGCCCUACUUCGGCCAGGCCGAGCGCCGGGCCCUCACGCAGGCCGCCCAGCUCGCCGGCUUCAACGUCCUCGCGCUCGUCAACGAGCACGCCGGCGCCGCGCUGCAGUACGGGAUCGACAAGGACUUCUCCAACGAGUCGCGCCAUGUCAUCUUUUACGACAUGGGCUCAGGCAGCACCUACGCCGCGCUCGUCUACUACUCGUCCUACAGCGCCAAGGAGUUCGGGAAGACGGUGUCUGUCAACCAGUUCCAGGUUAAGGAUGUCAGAUGGAACUCCAAACUUGGAGGCCUUGAAAUGGAAAUGCGUCUGGUAAACUAUUUUGCCGAUCAAUUUAACAAGCAGCUUGGCAAUGGGGAUGACAUCCGUCAGUCUCCUAAAGCAAUGGCUAAGUUGAAGAAGCAGGUCAAGCGCACGAAAGAAAUUCUGAGCGCAAAUACUGCUGCUCCGAUCUCAGUUGAAUCUCUAUAUAAUGACAUCGAUUUCAGGAGCACCAUAACACGUGAAAAAUUCGAAGAGCUUUGUGCAGAUUUAUGGGAGCAGGCUCUGACUCCAAUCAAAGAUGUGCUCACGCAUUCAGGCAUGAAAAUUGGUGACAUAUAUGCUGUAGAGCUGAUUGGAGGAGCUACCAGGGUACCAAAACUGCAGGCUAAGCUGCAGGAAUUCCUGGGACGGAGUGAGCUAGAUAAGCACCUUGAUGCUGAUGAAGCAAUUGUUCUUGGUGCCUCACUGCAUGCUGCUAAUCUAAGUGAUGGGAUUAAGUUGAACCGCAAGUUGGGGAUGAUUGACGGUUCUACUUAUGGUUUCGUGUUUGAAAUAGAUGGCCCAGAUUAUGUCAAAGAUGAAAGUACUGAUCAAGUACUGGUUCCAAGGAUGAAAAAGAUGCCAAUAAAGUUGUUCAGGUCCAUUAGACAUACUAAGGACUUUGAUGUCUCUCUCAGCUAUGACAAAGCUUCUGAAUUGCCCCCAGGUGUUUCGUCGCACAAGUUUGCAGAGUAUGCCAUAUCAGGCCUGGCUGAAACCAGUGAAAAGUAUGGAAGCCGCAAUUUAUCUGCACCCAUCAAAGCAAAUCUACACUUUUCUUUGAGUAGAAGUGGAAUUAUUUCUCUUGAUAGGGCAGAAGCAGUGAUUGAGAUAACUGAAUGGGUUGAAGUUCCAAAGAAGAACGUAACACUAGAGACUAAUACCACCGAUGAGACUUUGUCUGCUGAAUCAGGAACAACUGAUAGUACAACAGAUAGUAAGGAGAAUUCUAGUUCAGGAAGUGAUGCUGAUAAUACGAGCACUACCAAUGAUGAGACCAAUGUGCAAGAUACUAUUACAGAGAAGGUGCUGAAGAAAAGAACCUUCAGGGUUCCAUUAAAGGUCACUGAAAAAACAGCUGGUCCUGCAUCAACCCUUUCGAAGGAACUGUAUUCUGAGGCAAAAAGUAGGUUAGAUGUACUUAAUAAGAAGGAUGCUGAGCGGAGGAGAACUGCUGAACUGAAAAAUAACCUUGAGUCUUACAUAUACUCUAUGAAGGAAAAGUUGGAGGAAAGCACAGAUAUGUUGGCCGUCUCAACUGAACAGGAGAGGGAAUCUUUUACAGAGAAACUCAGUGAGGUGCAGGAUUGGCUGUAUAUGGAUGGUGAAGAGGCUCAAGCAAACGAAUUUCAAGAGCGGCUUGAUCAGCUUAAGGCCAUGGGCGACCCAAUUCUUUUCAGAAUGAGUGAGUUAAAAGCCCGACCAGCAGCUUGCGGAAGUGCUCGAUUGUAUCUUACUGAGCUACAAAAGAUUGUGAAGAACUGGGAAACAAGCAAACCAUGGCUUCCAAAAAAGAGAGUAGAUGAGGUCGUAAGUGAAGCAGAUAAGCUGAAAGCUUGGUUGGAGGAGAAGGAAACCCUACAGAAGAGUACCCCUGCCCACAGCUCGCCUGCCUUCACAUCUGAAGAGGUCUAUCAGAAAGUUUUAGCCCUACAAAAUAAGGUCUCUAGCGUCAAUAGGAUCCCAAAGCCAAAACCCAAGGUUGAGAAGAAACCCGCCGUAAAGGAAGAAGCUAACAAGGAGAAGACGGACUCUUCAGAAUCUGCAUCCAGCGAGUCUGAAUCCACGGAGAAGCCGUCAGAAUCGGAUGCCCCUGAGAAGAAUAACGAUUCGGAACCAGAAUCCCAUGACGAGUUGUGA